UGGGGAAUAUUGGACAAUGGAGGAAACUCUGAUCCAGCAAUUCUGUGUGUGUGAAGAAGGUUUUAGGACUGUAAAACACUUUUAGUAGGGAAGAAAAAAAUGACGGUACCUACAGAAGAAGCAACGGCUAAAUACGUGCCAGCAGCCGCGGUAAUACGUAUGUUGCGAGCGUUAUCCGGAAUUAUUGGGCUUAAAGGGCAUCUAGGCGGUAAGACAAGUUGAAGGUGAAAACCUGUGGCUCAACCAUAGGCUUGCCUACAAAACUGUUGAACUAGAGUACUGGAAAUGUGGGUGGAACUACACGAGUAGAGGUGAAAUUCGUAGAUAUGUGUAGGAAUGCCGAUGAUGAAGAUAACUCACUGGACAGCAACUGACGCUGAAGUGCGAAAGCUAGGGGAGCAAACAGG
This 407-nucleotide ribosomal RNA is filed under the name Verrucomicrobiota bacterium. RNAcentral's name for it is "Verrucomicrobia bacterium partial 16S ribosomal RNA". It matches the Rfam family "Bacterial small subunit ribosomal RNA", at positions 355 to 776 of the family's 1533-position model. The record is from RNAcentral. Lineage: Bacteria; Pseudomonadati; Verrucomicrobiota.